CAGUAGCCGCGGUAAUACGGAGGGCGCGAGCGUUACCCGGAUUUACUGGGCGUAAAGGGCGUGUAGGCGGCCUGGGGCGUCCCAUGUGAAAGGCCACGGCUCAACCGUGGAGGAGCGUGGGAUACGCUCAGGCUAGAGGGUGGGAGAGGGUGGUGGAAUUCCCGGAGUAGCGGUGAAAUGCGCAGAUACCGGGAGGAACGCCAAUGGCGAAGGCAGCCACCUGGUCCACUUCUGACGCUGAGGCGCGAAAGCGUGGGGAGCAAACCGGAUUAGAUACCCCAGUAGUCCCUGUCUCUUAUAC
Molecule: ribosomal RNA, 301 nt
Filed under: uncultured bacterium
Lineage: Bacteria
Description: partial 16S ribosomal RNA
Rfam family: Bacterial small subunit ribosomal RNA
Source: RNAcentral